Molecule: ribosomal RNA, 253 nt
Filed under: uncultured bacterium
Lineage: Bacteria
Description: partial 16S ribosomal RNA
Rfam family: Bacterial small subunit ribosomal RNA
Source: RNAcentral
UACGUAGGUGGCAAGCGUUGUCCGGAUUUAUUGGGUUUAAAGGGUGCGUAGGCGGUGAUGUAAGUCCGUGGUGAAAUCCGGCAGCUUAACUGUCGAGGUGCCAUUGAUACUGCGUGACUUGAGUACAGACGAGGUAGGCGGAAUUGACGGUGUAGCGGUGAAAUGCUUAGAUAUCGGGAAGAACACCGAUAGCGAAGGCAGCUUACUAGACUGAAACUGACGCUGAGGCACGAAAGUGUGGGGAUCAAACAGG